UGGGGAAUAUUGGACAAUGGGCGCAAGCCUGAUCCAGCCAUGCCGCGUGAGUGAUGAAGGCCCUAGGGUUGUAAAGCUCUUUCACCGGUGAAGAUAAUGACGGUAACCGGAGAAGAAGCCCCGGCUAACUUCGUGCCAGCAGCCGCGGUAAUACGAAGGGGGCUAGCGUUGCUCGGAUUUACUGGGCGUAAAGCGCACGUAGGCGGACUAUUAAGUCAGGGGUGAAAUCCCGGGGCUCAACCCCGGAACUGCCUUUGAUACUGGUAGUCUUGAGUUCGAGAGAGGUGAGUGGAAUUCCGAGUGUAGAGGUGAAAUUCGUAGAUAUUCGGAGGAACACCAGUGGCGAAGGCGGCUCACUGGCUCGAUACUGACGCUGAGGUGCGAAAGCGUGGGGAGCAAACAGG
This 404-nucleotide ribosomal RNA is filed under the name Actinomycetes bacterium. RNAcentral's name for it is "Actinobacteria bacterium partial 16S ribosomal RNA". It matches the Rfam family "Bacterial small subunit ribosomal RNA", at positions 355 to 776 of the family's 1533-position model. The record is from RNAcentral. Lineage: Bacteria; Bacillati; Actinomycetota; Actinomycetes.